RNAcentral lists this ribosomal RNA (296 nucleotides) under uncultured prokaryote. Its description in RNAcentral is "partial 16S ribosomal RNA". It matches the Rfam family "Bacterial small subunit ribosomal RNA", at positions 355 to 665 of the family's 1533-position model. The record is from RNAcentral.
UGGGGAAUUUUGGACAAUGGGCGCAAGCCUGAUCCAGCGACGCCGCGUGGAGGACGAAGGCCUUCGGGUUGUAAACUCCUUUUGGAGGGGAAGAAUAAAUUGACGGUACCCUCAGAAAAAGCCACGGCUAACUACGUGCCAGCAGCCGCGGUAAUACGUAGGUGGCGAGCGUUACUCGGAAUUACUAGGUGUAAAGCGUAUGUAGGUGGUUAGAUAAGUCUAUGGUGAAAUUUCCUGGCUCAACUGGGAAGGGUACAUAGAUACUGUCUGGCUUGAGUGGGGGGAAGACGUAGGUG